GCUCGCAGGAACAGGUGAUAGAUCUGUUUACUGCAGGUAGCAGUUGUAAUUUUUCACUCCAAAUCCCUACAGGCGAGUAAACAGCUGAAGCCUGACAGGCAGUACAUGAGUAAGAGAUCUCCUGGAGUAUGCAGCACGUAUAACCAGACAGUUGAAAGAAAGGGGAUCGCUUGGGAGUCUAGACGGUGUCACCGCCGGCGAUCUAUACCUGAACCGGCUAUUUCAAGAUUGACUCCUCCCUAA
RNAcentral lists this long non-coding RNA (243 nucleotides) under Salvator merianae (Argentine black and white tegu). Its description in RNAcentral is "lncRNA (ENSSMRG00000017845.1)". Lineage: Eukaryota; Metazoa; Chordata; Lepidosauria; Squamata; Teiidae. The record is from RNAcentral.